RNAcentral lists this long non-coding RNA (207 nucleotides) under Linum usitatissimum (flax). Its description in RNAcentral is "long non-coding RNA (LUSI_LNC000086)". The record is from RNAcentral. Lineage: Eukaryota; Viridiplantae; Streptophyta; Magnoliopsida; Malpighiales; Linaceae.
ACAAGGUCAUGCAAGAGAUUCCUAGACCACUGAAUGGUAAUAUUGAAGUGGUUCCAUUGUCGCCCAAGCCAGAUGAUGGUGACAGUGUAGACAAGAUUUAUGAAGCUCAUAGUUACGUUGACAAUGCAACCAACACAUUCUCUGGCCUUAAACAGAUUGGAAACGAAUCGGAAAAAGUUGAAGAGGCAGAUAACUCGGAGGAAGAGG